RNAcentral lists this ribosomal RNA (250 nucleotides) under uncultured bacterium. RNAcentral describes it as "partial 16S ribosomal RNA". It matches the Rfam family "Bacterial small subunit ribosomal RNA", at positions 524 to 773 of the family's 1533-position model. The record is from RNAcentral.
AACGUAGGGGGCGAGCGUUGUCCGGAAUUACUGGGCGUAAAGGGCGUGUAGGCGGCAUAGUAAGUCCGUAGUGAAACCCGACGGCUCAACCGUCGGCUUGCUAUAGAAACUGCUAAGCUUGAGUGCAGAAGAGGGGAGUGGAAUUCCCAGUGUAGCGGUGAAAUGCGUAGAUAUUGGGAGGAACACCAGUGGCGAAAGCGGCUCCCUGGCCUGUAACUGACGCUGAGGCGCGAAAGCGUGGGUAGCAAAC